UACUGUGAAUCCAUCAGUCGUGGCGGC
This 27-nucleotide non-coding RNA is filed under the name Bombyx mori (domestic silkworm). Lineage: Eukaryota; Metazoa; Arthropoda; Insecta; Lepidoptera; Bombycidae. The record is from RNAcentral.